CUGGCCAUGUUCUCACCCAUGGACAACCCUGGCCAAGCCCUGAGUGGCCAAGGAGAUUAUCUUGUCCUCACAUCACAGGACAUUGCUUAGGACCACAACAGAGCUGGUGGCCUGCAGGACAUCUGACAGAGGUGUCUGGAGGCCACGUGUUUCCCAUUUCUUGUCCUGUAUGGGACGGCUCUGCCCUGGUAUGGAAACCCAGAGCUGGGUGUCUUGGUGGUCUGGUGACUACAGUGUCCUGCAUCAAAUCAACUUCCCUCAUCUCAUGCUCUUUUUGUAUCACAGAAUUCUUAGGGUUGAAAAAAACCUCCAAGAUCAUCAAGUCCAGCCUUUGAAGGCCAGCCCAUAUCCCUGAUCUUUCCAUGUCUCCAAAGGCAGAUGGAGGGCAUUCUUUAGGCGUGCCUGACACCGUGUCACAGAAAGGCUGUCUCUGUAUCAUGUUCUCUGCAGCAGAGCAAACAGCAGCCGUGCUUAGCAAAUAGAUUAACACCUUUGUUUACUCAUGAGACAUUUAUGAUGGAUUUCAGUUGUGUUUAAAAAAACCCAGACAAACAGUAAACUGAGCAUGAAUAACGAUUUAGAUGAAGUGUUGGAGGAGUAAUUCCUUCUACAAAUGCACAGAAUUCAAAUCACCAGGAAGGAGCAGGAGGUGUUUUUAUGUGCUGAUUUAGCACAAAUUCCAGGAGCCCCACGAGGCUGCCUGCAUGUUGAGAGGAGUGACUGCUGGAAAUGGCUCUGGUGAUCUCAGUGAUCCCCAUGAACUCUGUGUCCUCCUGGCACCACUGAGCACGAUGACAGGUGACAGAAAGGUCUGCUCAUGGCUGUGUUGGUGUGGUUGUUAACACAUGGAUGGAUGUCAGCCCUCACUUUCCCCAGCAGCCCAAAGUGGAGUUGCAACUCCAGGAGUUUAACAAGUGUUUGAAGGACUUGUCCAAACAAGCAGAGGAGUCCUGCCUGUCCCCUGUGGUGCCUUGGAGUGUGAGUGACAGCCAGGACACUGAAGGAUGGACUUACAAGCCAGGAGACAGUGUAAGCAACAUUCAGACAUGCUCUUCCAAGGCUGGAGAAUCCCCAGCACUCUUGUGAUGCGCUUUUGGAUGGGACAACAUUAAGAUAUUAAGAAACAGCUGCAUCUUCUCUGAUCAGAAAAGUCCACAAUCCCUGUUGGUCCUCAAGACAGGAAAUUCAUGGCUUUUAGGAGAAAUUAUGCUCUGUGUCUGGCUGAUGAAGUUUUUGCCUGGUAUUCAAGCAGGAGGGAAGAGCAAACUUGGGAAUAUCUUGAGUAGUUCCAGCUGAGCACUGAGGCACAGCAAAGAGCAGAGUGAAGAUGAGGGUGUUGGCAGGGGCACUCCCUGCCUCCUAUGAGACCUUCAGUGCAACCAGAGGAUUCUCCCCCAAACCACUGCAAAUUCCAAGCAGAGGUGUUGGCUUCUGAGAGGAAGAGCUGCACAAACAUUCCCCAGGAUCUGGCAGAGUUUUUAUAAAAGUUGAUUUUAUUUUGUGCAAAUUAUUAACUUCGGUUGAAAC
This 1527-nucleotide long non-coding RNA is filed under the name Cyanistes caeruleus (blue tit). Its description in RNAcentral is "lncRNA (ENSCCEG00000023007.1)". Lineage: Eukaryota; Metazoa; Chordata; Aves; Passeriformes; Paridae. The record is from RNAcentral.